Molecule: ribosomal RNA, 849 nt
Filed under: Triticum aestivum (bread wheat)
Lineage: Eukaryota; Viridiplantae; Streptophyta; Magnoliopsida; Poales; Poaceae
Description: partial small subunit ribosomal RNA
Source: RNAcentral
AUGCUUCGCCUUCGCCUCCAUCCUUGCCCACGCUUCUCUCCGCCGGGAUCCCACCCCGCCUUCCCUCGCCAGUUGGCCGCCUCUCCGCUCCCAGAGCUCCCCUUCCAAUCCACCGUCACCGCGCUCAGAACCCGAGCCCCUCCGCUCCAGGCCGCCGUCAGCCGAGCAGCCUCCGGAGAGGAGCAACGGGGCGUUUAUGAGGACGAAGAAGACGCGGACCUGGACAAUGCACUCACCAAGACACGGCAGCUCGUCGAGUGCGCCAUGUUUGCAUCUGUUGCUGGUCUCGCGUACUUCCUCAGCAACUCCCUCGCCAUCGAGAAUUACUUCAGCUGCUUUUUCCAAUUGCCGAUAGUCAUCUCCUCCUUGAGAUGGGGAUUAGAAGCUGGUAGGAAGACCAUGGUGGCUACUGUUUUACUGCUCUUCACAUUGUCUGGCCCUGUCAAAGCAUCGACUUAUCUGCUUAUGCACGGGGUAGUUGGUCUAGCCAUGGGUACUAUGUGGAGGUUGGAGACCGAUUGGAUUGCUUCCAUCAUAAUCUGCUCAAUUAUCCGUGCGGUGGGAGCUUGUGGAUAUGUGUUAGUGUCAUCGUUCCUGAUACGAGAAAAUAUUCUUCAAUUGAUAACCGUUAACGUGCAUGCCUCCUUAACGUACAUUCUGGCAGCGGCUGGUGUGAACGCAAUUCCAUCCAUGGAUGCAAUAUAUGUAAUCUUUGGGACACUGCUUCUACUUAAUUGUGGAUUCUUUGUCUUCAUACUGCACAUAAUCUACACAAUCUUCCUGACCAAGCUUGGAAUCAAGCCUUCGCUGAGACCUCCACGAUGGCUGGGCAAAACAACUUUUAGUUGA